Molecule: non-coding RNA, 74 nt
Organism: Pteropus alecto (black flying fox)
Lineage: Eukaryota; Metazoa; Chordata; Mammalia; Chiroptera; Pteropodidae
Source: Rfam
GGCUCCAUAGUCUAGUGGUUAGCAUGUCUGCUUUACAUGCAGAAGGUCCUGGGUUCGUGCCCUAGGUGGAACCA